This 596-nucleotide long non-coding RNA is filed under the name Amborella trichopoda. RNAcentral describes it as "long non-coding RNA (ATRI_LNC002090)". Lineage: Eukaryota; Viridiplantae; Streptophyta; Magnoliopsida; Amborellales; Amborellaceae. The record is from RNAcentral.
UCUCUCUCUCUCUCUCUCUCUUUGUUAUUUAGGAGUUUGGGUUGUCAUUUCGGUUCCUCUGGAUUAGAGAAACAAUAAGAAAUCCUAACAUUUAGUAUUUUAGUGAUAUAGUAAACAACAAAGAGAGAAACCACUGAGCCAAAGUUGCCGCCUGUGUGCCUAGGGAAGGCCCAAUUAAGAGAGAGAAAAUCAAAGUUCAAGCCUAAACAGAAAAAUAACCCCCCAUGCUCAAAGUGGUAGCAGGUGUGGGGAGUUUCCUCCUCUCUCAAAUCCUCAAGAUCACCAAAUAUGCCAUAGCCAGCAAGCUAAGGAUGGUAGUUUCUAAAGAACUAGUAGAACUUGUUAAAUACAUUUUUCAGAGGGUAAAUACAGUGGCAGAUGAGUUGGCUAACUCGGAACCAGACGCAUCCAGGGAUAGCUCAUAGCUCUAUGAAGCCAUAGUUCGCAGUCCCUUUUUCUCCAUGGAGAAACAUUCCUUAUAGUCUAGUAUAUCUAUUAAAAGAAAGACCAAUAAAUGGCAGAGGCUAGUGAAUUUUAAAAGGUACAACCCCUGAAAAUUCACAGAGACGUUGUCAGUCUUAGAGACUUAAACAAAU